Long non-coding RNA from Phoenix dactylifera (date palm), 450 nucleotides. RefSeq lists it as uncharacterized. The record is from RefSeq and is a predicted model, not a curated record. Lineage: Eukaryota; Viridiplantae; Streptophyta; Magnoliopsida; Arecales; Arecaceae.
GGGAGCCAUGUGUAAUAAAGUGAGACUUUAAAAUAAUAUUCUCGUUAAGUUGCCAAAUAGUUGGGCUCCAUACGAUAAUUUCUUGGUCCCCUCUUCUUACAAUGCAUCUCCUAGGCCUCUUUUCACAAAUUCCAGAGCCGUCUCCAUGGGUUACUGCUUCGCUUCUACUCGACACAGAGUACUCAACACCCCAAAUGGAGAAACUUGGCCAGGAGUCUUCUUUCCUCAAGUGUCCUCCUAAGUGUGAAAAUUGAUGUUGCUUUCCUAUGCUGACUAAAAUUUCUUCUUCUAACGAGCAUUAUGAAAUCAUAGAAGAUAUGUAUGUUUAGUUUUUAGAGAACAUACAUGUUUGUUGGUCUACCUUGGGGCGUGGGCCAUCUUGUCCUAUGGUCAGAUAUUAUAACAUUUGCAACUUGCAAAAUUGAUUGGAUUGGCCUUUCUAAGUUUUAA